AUGAAUGCUUCCCUCUGUUCUCCCUUCACUGAAAAUGAAAUCUUUGAAGCUUUGCAAAAUACCGGGAACCUAAAAGCUCCAGGCCCAGACGGGAUGCCAGCAAUUUUUUACAAGAGAUUCUGGGAUUUGGUUGGUGAGAGGGUCAGAUGUGAGGUACUCGCAGUUCUAAAUGGAGGCCCAAUCCCAGAGGAAUGGAACAGAACUACAGUUGUGCUAAUUCCAAAGAGUAAAAAUCCAGAAAGGAUUAAGGAUUUCAGACCAAUCAGUCUCUGCAAUGUGCUAUACAAAAUUAUUUCCAAGGUUCUUACUAGUAGAAUGAAAGUCUUUAUUGGAGACAUUAUCUCGCAAAAUCAAAGUGCAUUCAUUCCAGGUCGUUUGAUCAUCGACAAUGUCCUGGUUGCUUACGAGAUGUCUCACUAUAUAAGAAACAAAAGGAAUUGA
Molecule: ribosomal RNA, 441 nt
Filed under: Triticum aestivum (bread wheat)
Lineage: Eukaryota; Viridiplantae; Streptophyta; Magnoliopsida; Poales; Poaceae
Description: partial small subunit ribosomal RNA
Source: RNAcentral